CGUGUAGGCGGCCAGACAGGUCUGUUGUGAAAACUGGAGGCUUAACCUCCAGACGUCGACAGAAACCGUCUGGCUAGAGUCCGGAAGAGGAGAGUGGAAUUCCUGGUGUAGCGGUGAAAUGCGCAGAUAUCAGGAAGAACACCAAUGGCGAAGGCAGCUCUCUGGGACGGUACUGACGCUGAGAGCGAAAGCGUGGGGAGCGAACA
Molecule: ribosomal RNA, 206 nt
Filed under: uncultured bacterium
Lineage: Bacteria
Description: partial 16S ribosomal RNA
Rfam family: Bacterial small subunit ribosomal RNA
Source: RNAcentral